GGGGUUGACCGGAUUCGACGGGGUGAUUGGUUGCAGUGUAAGCAUGUGGUGCCUUGGAGGCCGGCACCUUAAACUCAACCUUCAAACCAUUAAGAGGCGAAUCUAACUUUGCCUUGGCUGCUUAAUCGGAAUGAUUGAGUAAUUGCCAACUAUCUCGAAUGACUCUAUCUGAGCCGUUGUUCACCAGAGAUAGUCGACCCGCUCAGGUAUGACCCCCAAAUUCAACGCAAGGGCUCAUUAUACAGUUGAAUAAGGAAUAAUGUUGGCCUGGGGCGAGCCGGCUUAUUCCCGAAACCAAUCGCUCCUAAACAUGUAGAAAGCGCUCGUAAUUGCAUGACCGGACGGGGGUUCGAUUCCCCCCAAUUCCACUC
Molecule: transfer-messenger RNA, 371 nt
Filed under: Bacteroidia
Lineage: Bacteria; Pseudomonadati; Bacteroidota
Also listed under: 1 other name
Description: UBA955 sp002737705 Standard tmRNA
Rfam family: transfer-messenger RNA
About the family: Bacterial tmRNA, also known as 10Sa RNA or SsrA, is named for its dual tRNA and mRNA-like properties. Its role is to liberate the mRNA from a stalled ribosome.
Source: RNAcentral